This 33787-nucleotide long non-coding RNA is filed under the name Ananas comosus (pineapple). RNAcentral's name for it is "long non-coding RNA (ACOM_LNC023589)". Lineage: Eukaryota; Viridiplantae; Streptophyta; Magnoliopsida; Poales; Bromeliaceae. The record is from RNAcentral.
AACCAAACCCAUUACUUGGUAACCCGGUAAGUACACUCCCUUCGAUCUUAUCGCUGCCGCCCUCCUUGUCUCUGCUUCUCUUCCUCCUUUCCCUCUCUGCUCCAUCUACCUCCUAUCCCUCCUAUUCCUCGGUCGUAACAAUCCCCUCCCCUUAGCACAUCCUUGUCCUCAAGGAUCGAACGCCGGAAACUGCGAGAUUAGGAAACGGUAGUCCUCCCAGGUCGCCGACUCUUCAGGCAAGUUGGUCCAUUUGACCAAGACUUUGGUAGCCGCCCGAUCUCCUGCACGGACCAUCUUCCGCUCCAGUAUCCUUUCUGGUUCUGCAAGUAACUGCCCUUCCUCCCCCACCAACGGUAUUGUAGGGGUCACUUGUGCUUUUUCCUUGGGACUUCUUUUGAGUAGUGAUACAUGGAAAACUGGGUGGAUUUUUGAUCCCUCAGGUAACCUUAGCCUAUAAGCGACUGCCCCGAUCUUCUCGGUUAUCUCGUAAGGCCCAAAGUAGCGUGAACAAAGCUUAAGGUUUUUUCGAACUGCCACCGAGAGCUGUCGAUAGGGUUGCAAUUUCAAGUAUACCCAAUCUCCAACUUUGAACUCUCGAUCUGUUCGCCUCCUGUCAGCAAACUGUUUCAUACGAUUCUGAGCCUUUUGCAAAUUGUCCCUGAGCUCCCGUGUUAGCUUCUCCCUCUCCUUUCCCCAAUCCUGUACCACCCCCACUGUACUCUUAUCAAGGUUACCAAUCAUAUAGUUAGGGGGCGAUUGCCCGUAAAGAGCCUGGUAAGGAGAAGUCUCCAAGGAUGUAUGAUAAUUGGUGUUGUACCACCAUUCAGCAUGGAUCAACCAGUGAAACCACUUCCUGGGGUGUUGGAAACACAAACAGCGAAGAUAGGUUUCUAGACAUCGAUUUAAUCGUUCCGUCUGUCCAUCUGACUGUGGAUGAUAUGCGGAUCCCAUGUGUAGUUUAGUCCCAAGCAACCCGAAUAGUUCUUGCCAAAGCUGACUAGUAAAAAUUCGAUCUCUGUCCGAAACUAUGACCUCCGGCAGCCCAUGCAAGCGAUAUAUAGUAUCAAAGAAAGCCUUGGCCACCUCUAUGGCGGUGAACGGAUGGGUCAAUGCGAUGAAAUGUCCAUACUUGGACAGUCUAUCUAUCACUACCAGAAUAGAGUCUUUACCUUCAGAUUUGGGCAGCCCUUUGAUGAAGUCCAUGCUGAUUGCGCUCCACAUCCGAGUAGGAAUGGGUAGUGGUUGAAGUAAACCCGCAUACAUCGAAUUGUCUGACUUAUUCCUGAGGCAGAUUUCACAUUUCUCGACAUACUUCUUCACAUCCUCCUUCAGUUUUGGCCAGUAGAACACUUGUUUCACUCGCUUAUACAUGUGUUGCCUACCGGAGUGCCCUCCUAACGGAGAGUCAUGCAUCUCUCGUAGUAUUCUUUCUUUCAAUUUCCCAUCUUGUCCUAUAUAUAUCCUCCCUUUGUACCUGAUCAGCCCUUGUUUAAGCGUAUAGUGACCUUGGUCCGCAGGAGUCUGGAGUGUGCACUUAGCCAGCAGUUGCUUACAAUGAUUAUCUGUUUCGUAACUCUUACUUACUUCAGUAACCCAUUCCGGAACGGCUCCCGUCACUGCUUGGACCACCCCUUCCUCCACCCCUUGUCUCGAUAAGGCAUCAGCUGCGCAAUUUUCCUUUCCUUUUCGAUAUUGAAUCACGUAAUCUAAGCCCAUGAGUUUGAGUAGACCUUUUUGUUGAAUGGCGGUGUUAAUUUUCUGCUCCAAUAGAAACUUCAAGCUCUCGUGGUCCGUCUUUAUUAUAAAGGGCUUUAAGCUUAGAUAAUGCCGCCACUUUGUCACAGCGACAAGAAUAGCCAAGAACUCUUUUUCGUAGGUCGAUAACCCUAGAUUCUUCUUACUAAUUGCUUGACUCAGAUAGGCUAUGGGCCUCCCUCCUUGACUCAGCACGGCUCCAAUUCCUUGGCCACUGGCGUCUGCUUCUAUCUCAAAAUGCUUCGAAUAGUCAGGCAUGGCCAGCACAGGAGCUUCCGUCAUCGCUUUUUUUAACCUCUGAAAUGCCGAAGUCGCGUCUUCACUUCAUUUAAAACUGUCUUUCUUCAAGAGCUCUGUUAGGGGUCGGCUUAUUAUCCCAUAACCUUUGACAAACUUCCGGUAAUACCCGGUAAGCCCCAAGAACCCUCUCAACUCUUUUACAGAUCUGGGUAAAGGCCACUGGAUCAUGGCUUCUACUUUACUCGGGUCUGUCGACACCCCGUCCUCAGUGAUUACAAAGCCCAAGUAAUCUACUUGUUUCUGCCCAAAGAAACACCUCACCCUUUUGGCAAACAAGCUGUGAUCUCGUAAUAUUCCCAGCACCUCUUUCAAAUGUUCCACAUGCUCCUGCAGGGUCUUACUAUAUAUGAGUAUAUCAUCAAAAAAUACUAAUACGAACUUUCUCAAGAAGCGAUCAAAAAUCUCAUUCAUGAUAGCUUGGAACGUGGCCGGCGCGUUAGUAAGUCCGAAGGGCAUGACCCGAAACUCGUAGUGGCCGAUGUGGGUUCUAAAAGCCGUCUUCGGAAUGUCGCUAGGAUGCAUGCGGAUUUGGUGAUAUCCCGAACGCAGGUCAAUUUUUGAGAAAUAUUUUGCUCCCCCCAACUCAUCGAGUAAAUCCUCAAUAAUGGGAAUCGGAUAUUUAUCCUUCACUGUGAGCUUGUUUAACUGUCUAUAGUCGACGCAAAAGCGCCAUGUUCCAUCCUUUUUCUUAACCAAGAGCACCGGAGAUGCAUAGGGGCUAUGGCUGGGCUGAAUGAUCCCUGUUUGUAACAUUUCCUUUAUCUGUCUUUCCAUUUCAUUCUUCUGCUCAAAGGUAUACCUAUAGGGUCUAAUGUUAACUGGCGAAGACCCGGUCAGUAAAGGUAUCCUAUGAUCCUGGCUCCUAGUAGGAGGUAGACCCUGUGGUUCCUGGAAAACAUCCCCAUAUUCCCGCAACACCUCCUGAAUGGAUUCGGGUAUGUUCUCUUCUUUUCCGCUAUCUGGCGGAAUCCACUGUGCUAUUGCACAGCAACUGCCCAACUGAGGUUCCUGCAGCAGCUGUUUCGCGGUAAUACUUCGCAAUUGGGCCUUUUCAGUCAUUCCCUUGAGGUGGAUCUUCUUCUCCCCUUUAGUAAUAAUGACAGUAUUAAUCUCAUAAUCGAAGGUGAUUGGCCCGUGAGCUUUUAACCAGUCGAUCCCGAGGAUCAUACUUGACCCUUCAAGCCUUAUCACUCGUAAGUCGGCCGAGUACUUUUCUCCUUGCAUUUCCCAAACGUAGUUGGUACACUUAAGCUUACUUAGUACCUUUUGGCCAUUGGCUACUGUUACCAAUAGUGGGUUAGUAGUGGUUAUGCUGGCCUUGGUCUCUUUCGCGAUUCCGAUAUCAAUAAAACUGUGUGUGCUCCCGGUGUCCACCAGAAUGGAUAAAGUUUUUCCUUUACUUUCUCCCUGUAUCUUUAUUGUAUCUUGACUGUCCUCGGCACUUAGGGCAUGAAUGGACAAUCCCAAUUCCUCGGCUUCUUCUAAUUCAACUUUGUUUUCUCCUUCUACCUCUUGCAAGCUAAUCUCAUCAUAGACUUCAGUCACCUCAGGAACGGCUUGCAGGGCAUUCACAACUUGCUGUUUACAAAUAUGGCCCGGGCUGUACUUAUCUCCACAUUUGAAACACAGUCCCGCCGCUCUUCUCUGUUCGAUUAAUUGCCGGUUGGGAAAAACCUUUUCUGCUGCAAACUUGGGUUGGUUCCUGGUGGUAUCGGAAUAUCUUCCCGACGUUGCCGAACCUAUACCCUUGUAAUUGCUUGAAGGAUUGGUGAUACCUGCCAGUUUGAACAUUUGCUUGUUCCUUUUCAUCAUAGCAGCAAUGGUUUGUUCCUGCAAUUUAGCUUGUUCAAAAGCUUGCGCUAAUGUGCGGGGAUAGAGCAUCUUGACGGCCGACUUAAUCUCCUCCUUUAGCCCACUUAAGAAGCUGGAUAAGAAAUAACUUCCGGAGAAUUGUGAAUCAGUGGUAAGGAUCCGCGCUCUUAAUUCCUCAAACUACUCUUGGUACUCUUCUACUGUCCCUGUUUGUACCAAUUUGUUAAAUUCCUCCACAGCAUCCACUAACCCCUUAGUAUCAAAUCGUUUACAAACCUCUUCAGAGAAAUCUACCCAACUGACCAUUCCUUUCUCUGCCAGGUAUCCUUGAAACCAAGUAUCAGCCUUAUCAUCCAAAUGCAUUGCGAUUAAUUCCAUCUUCUGGUGCUCCUUAAUACCAUAGAAUUCAAAGUACCUCUCACAUUUUCUCACCCAACUCCUUGGGUUGUCAUUCAUGAACAUAGGAAAAGCUAAUUUGGGAUAUGGAAAUUGAGAACCGGAUCGAUUUAUAGUAGAUUGUAUAUGAUGAUCUUCCCUUGUAUGAGAAUGAGAUGGGUUUGGUAAUAUACCUCGUUCCUCUGGAUUGGUUGAAGAAGUAACUCCCUUGGUUGAUGAUGCUUGUGGUAUGUUCUUCAGCAGAUCCAUAAUCUGUUCCAGCUUCUUGGAGGUGUUCGCAGAAUCUCUCUUCCAAUCGUCAUAAUGGGACUGUCCCUCGGUACGUAUCGCCUCCAUCCGACUUGCCAGUGAUUCAAACUUCCUCUCAUUACCCACUGCUAACUGUUGUAGUUGCUUCUCUAGCACGUGAACAUGUUCAUCGAGCAGCUUCAAACGUGUUCCCUCGGCCAUCGCCUUGCUCACGAAUUUGAAUCGGUUACCUCUCGCCGACCCAAUUGUCGCUCAAUCGUCAGCUGGAUCCACCUGCAAGAGUGUUGCAGGCACCAGGUGGGAACUCGAACAGAUGGUGGGCGUGUGAUUUCCCAACCAAUUCUGUGAGUUCAAGAACCGGGGUCGGCUCUUACAGCGGCUCCCUUUGUCCAGGUUCACCCAAAGGCGAUCCUAGCAACUCGGGAAGCUGUGUCGACGUUGGAUUCAACAGUUUUUGCAAAACCGGAGCCCUUGCGACUGCGCUGUACCGAUCCCUGGGAUCUCAACAGCUCUGAUACCAACUUGUUAUGAUUCCGACCACCGCGCAACCCAAUUAUGGAUUGAUGGAUGGCGCAAUGGGAUGAAGAAUCGGCUUACCUGAUCCGAUGCCUCGAUCUGAUGAGGAUGAAACCGAGGAUCGUGGAUUGGAGAUGAUGAUAAACAGUAUUCAAUCGAAUACUGAUCGGGUAUCAGUUGUGCGAGAUCGAUAGCUUCGAUUGAGAAUGGAUCUGUGCUUGAGAUGAGAUAGAAUUGGAGUGAGGAAGAAGAAGGAGAGAUAGAGAAGAGGAAGACGAGCUAGAGAGAAAGAGAGAGAGAGAGAGAGAGUUGGGGAGAAUGGGGGAUUUUUAUUCAAACUUCUCAUAGUUUGUUACAGGUAGUUGCUACUAUUUAUACCCCUCAAUAUGGGGACCAAAAUGUAAAAAGAGUACAGUAACAAGGACUGCAGCUUAAUUGUGUUUAUACUUAGUGGUUCCGAUGGGCCUGAUCUAAUUGAGAUUGGAUUGGGCCCCUCCCAGGCUUACCGCCAUCAACUAAUCCUUCCGGAGUCGGAUGCUUAAUGGAUCGGUUGAAGUAACCAAACCCAUUACUUGGUAACCCGGUAAGUACACUCCCUUCGAUCUUAUCGCUGCCGCCCUCCUUGUCUCUGCUUCUCUUCCUCCUUUCCCUCUCUGCUCCAUCUACCUCCUAUCCCUCCUAUUCCUCGGUCGUAACAGCGGUAGGCGAGCCGUACGGUAGACGGAAAGAAUGGAGAAGCUUCGCCGGCGACGCGUCGACGAUAUAUAGCAUGGCGACACGGAUGCACAUUAAUAAGUGCAAGGCGUUGUGGUGGAGUGGGCUAAUUAAUGAAACCGCUGAGGCAACAGAGAAGCCCUUAGCCAAAUUAACGCGUGUGUGCCACAUCAUGCACAAAAUUGGAUUUCAUUAGAGUUGUGCCAAACAUGAAAACUCUCGAGUUUUCAACACAAAAACAAUUGGGAUUUAAUUAGAUUUGUGCCACCUCAUGCUAAAAAAAUAUUAAAAUAUAGCAGUUAAAUAUGAGAAUAAAAAUAUGAGGUAAUUAUUGCAGUAAAAUAUGAGAAUAAAAAUAUAAGAAGUUAAAUAAUAAGCUAUAUUUAUCUAUAUCUAUAUCUAUACUACUUAUAAAAGCAUGAGUUUUAAAUUUUUUCUCUUUCCAAAAAUGUCUUUAUCUUUUUUACUAAUAUUGUCAUGCCCAGUAAUUUUCAACCAUCCAUUUUAAAUAAAUCUUUAAAUAAUAAUUUAUUCUCAAAUAUAGAUCUUAAGCUUUCGCCAUUGGAUCUCAUCCAACGAAUAAAAAUAAAAGUAUCUGUUAUUUUUGUUGACAAAAAUACCCUACAUAUCCGUUAUCUCCCAUCUACGCCGUGUUUCUCAAAAAAAAAUUUUCUACCUACCAAUCAUGUAAUACGUAAAACUAAACUUAUCUCUUAUCUAACCUAACGUAAUACCCGCCAAUCACCUAAUACCUCUGCUAAUCACUAAAAAUAAUUAAUACCCGCCCAAUCAAAACUAAAUCGUUAAUUAAAUAUAAUUUUAAAUAUUUUUAGCAAAAUAUUCAAUAUUUAAAUAAUACCCACCAAAAUAUUCUCUGCAUUCUCAAAUAUAAAAUAUAUUUUAUCCAUUUUAAAUAAAUCUUCAAAUAAUAAUUUAUUCUCAAAUAUAGAUCUUAAGUUUUCGCCAUUGAAUCUUAUCCAAUGAAUAAAAAUAAAAGUAUCUGUCAUUUUUGUUGACAAAAAUAUUAUUCAUAUCCGUUACUCAAAUAUUUUUUUUCUAUCCAUAAUACGUAAAACGAAAUUUAUUUUUUAUCUAACGUAAUACCCGUCAAUCACGUAAUACCUCCGCUAAAUUUAUUUCAGUGUUUUCUCAAAUAAUUUUUUUCUCAAAUAUUUUUUUUCUCAAACAUAAUAUCUACCAAAAUUAAAUUUUAAAUUUGUAAUGCCCGCCAAAAUUUAAUACCCGUAAAUUUGAUAAUUUGAAUUUUAAUUCAUGAUAGUAGAUAGUAGAUUUUUCCUUAAUUACAUAAAAUAGUAGAUUUAAUUUUGACGAGUAUUAAAAUUUGGCGCGCCAUAGAAGUGUUAAAUAUUGCUAAAAAAAUUUAAUACCUCCAAAUCAAAAAUAAAUCGUUAAUUAAAUAUAAUUUUAAAUAUUUUUAGCAAAAUAUUUAAUAUUUAAAUAAUGUGUCAUAAAAGCAUAAAAUAUUUCUAAAAAAUUAUAUUUGUCCAAUCAAAACUAAAUCGUUAAUUAAAUAUAAUUUUAAAUUUUUUUAGCAAAAUAUUCAAUGUUUAAAUAAUACCCACCAAAAUAUUCUCCGCAUUCUCAAAUAUAGAAUAUAUCUUAAUACCCUUGCAUAUAAUAUCUACGCUAACCAAUCUUAUCUCAUCAUAAUAUUUUUCACACAAUAUAUACAUCAUAUCUUUUCUGUUAGCAUAUCUUUCUUACUAUAUUUUUAUUUUCACCUAUACGUUUCUUACAUAUAAAGAAUAUAUAUUUUUUCAGUAGUAUCCUUUUUUUAUUUUUAUCUAUAUUUUUUUCAAAUAUUUUCAUUUGUUACCAAAGUACAUCGUCAUCGUCCUACUCAUUAUCAUUGCCUGUGUCGAAACAUUGUCGUGUUCGCCACCUUCGUUAUAAUUAAAGAGGUAUUUUAAUUCCAUCUAAAAUUUUUUGAUUAAAUACUAUAUAUCGAAUCUAUAAUAUUUAUUUAUAAAAAUUAUAUUUUUUAGUAUUUGUGCGACGUGCAUUGCACGUGCACUUAACUAGUAAUUGCAAUAGCUCGAGUUUGAAAUUGCAACUCAUUAAAGUUUGAAAACUAAAACUUUACGUAUCUCAUACUUUCAGCAAAAAAAAUAUAUUUCAUUAAAAUUCGAGGACUAAAGUGUUCUGUAUUUUAUAGUUUAAGGAUCAAAAGUGCAAUUUAUCUUUUUUAUACGUUAAUUUUAAUCCAAACAAAGAUAAAAUUGAGCAUCGAUCGGGUUUAUUUAUUUAGUAAUUUUAUUUGAGAAAAGAAUAUAUUAAAAUAUUUAAUAAAUUUUAGAAUGCCUACUUGUUAAAAUUAAAAGUCAACCAAUCACAUUUUGGAUAUUUCAAAAUAUUUUAAAAGUAAAAUUUAUCGUUCAUCAAACUAUAAAUAUGGUAUUUAAGUUUUAUAUUAAAAUUAAAGUAAAAACGUACAGAACUUUUCUAAAGUACGAAUUAUUUUGAAUUAGCUAUCCAACCUUUAAAAAUUUAAUUUUUACUAUCUAACCUUUUUAUAUAUUAAGUUUAAGUCACUUAAUAAUACAUUGACUUCAAAAUUUGAAUGUGUCGUUUACAAUAAAUUUAAUUAGUACUUCAUUCAAUUUUUGCAACUAAAUAUAUUAAAUAAGUAAUUAAUUUAAACUUCAUCCAUCGCUCUUUUAUUUUUUAUUCUACAAUUUAUAUUUAAAUAAUUAAUAUUAUAAAAUUAAAAUUAAAAUUUAAUAUAUAUAAUAUAAACUAUUUAAAAAUAUGUAUAUAUUUUAAAUUUUUAUAAUAAAAGAGAAAAAUUAAUAGAUUUUAAAAAAAUUAGCUUCUCAAAAUCAACAGAAAAGGAAAAUAAAAAAGUAAAAUUAAAAAUAUAUAUAAAAGAGGAAUGGGCCCACCUCGGCCAGCUCGGGCCCACCUUAUAACUCCUACCCGACCCCUUUCGCCGCCACGUGUUAAAAAACUGGGCUUUUCAAAAUAUUUUAAAUGUAAAAUUGAUCGUUCAUCAAACUAUAAAUAUGGUAUUUAAGUUUUAUAUUAAAAUUAAAGUAAAAGUGUACAGAACUUUUCUAAAGUACGAAUUAUUUUGAAUCAGCUAUCUAACCUUUAAAAAUUUUAUUUUUACUAUCUAAUCUUUUUAUAUAUUAAAUUUAAGUCACUUAAUAAUACAUUGACUUCAAAAUUUGAAUGUGUCGUUUACUAUAAAUUUAAUCAGUACUUCAUUCAAUUUUUGCAACUAAAUAUAUUAAAUAAGUAAUUAAUUUAAACUUCAUCCAUCGCUCUUUUAUUUUUUUAUUCUACAAUUUAUAUUUAAAUAAUUAAUAUUAUAAAAUUAAAAUUAAAAUUUAAUAUAUAUAAUCUAAACUAUUUAAAAAUAGGUAUAUAUUUUAAAUUUUUAUAAUGAAAGAGAAAAAUUAAUAGAUUUUAAAAAAAAUUAGCUUCUCAAAAUCAACAGAAAAAGAAAAUAAAAAAGUAAAAUUAAAAAAAUAUAUAAAAGAGGAAUGGGCCCACCUCGGCCAGCUGGGGCCCACCUUAUAACUCCUAUCCGGCCCCUUUUGCCGCCACGUGUUAAAAGACUGGGCUUUCAUUAUGUUUAUAGAUUUUUAUGCAAGUUCAUAUCCAAUUUAAGUUCACAAUAUCAAGACAAAAAAUCAAUUUAUUUAGAAAAAAAAAAAAAUGUUUGCAAAAUUAAUUCGAUCCUAUUAAAUUAUCAAAUGAAUCUAUUCAAAUUGAAAGGCAAUAAAUAAGUGCUCCAUAAUCAUUCACCCACGCUAUAUAUGAACAAGCUAAUUGAACUUUUGAGUGGGCUAUGCACUUUAAUGCCUUUUAAAAUUUAAUAUGAGAAUGCAUUUAGUUAUCGUAUUGAAAUUUGUAGAGUAGCUUUAAAACAUUCAAUAGAUCAAGUCAUUGUUUGGGCAUUUUACAUAUUUAUAAUCAAAGCACACGGGUUUAUAAUUAGUUAAUCAGGACUACCAAACUAAUUUAGUAAGUGAUUUUGAUCUCUAUUUAAUUAAUAUAUAAAUGUUAACCUUAUCUAGAUUGGUAUUUUUGCUAAAAAUUCUAAGUAUAGAAAGAAUGGAAUUUGGAUCUACUUUUGUAAAUCUUAAGGGCGAAUGUAAACUAGACUCAAUGAGAGAAUGUUGGAGAGCUUCUGUUGGAGAGUUUUCAAAGUGGAAAGCGUGAAUUCUUCAUAAUAGAAACCUACUACUAUUAUAUCAUUUUAAUCAAACCAAUCGUUUGUUUCUCGUGAGUUCAUAUUGCAGUCAUACUAGAAGAAAAUAAGGGUGGAUAUCGAGCUAGCAUUGAGACGAUAGAUUAAGUAUGAAUUUGAUAGAGCAAUUAUUUUUUUUUAUGGACGAAAUUAAGCUAAAGAUAAUGGCCUAGUACAUUGCCCUUUGUUUUCUUUAUUUCUUUUUUUUAAGCAGCAACUCAGAGCUUUCCUGACCAUGAGGGGUGAAAACAUCUUGUGCCAUCUCAAAAGAUCCGAACUGAACCCUGAAACGCUUGUAAACAUCUACAAACUCGCUCAAAAAUUUCAAAAUUUAUUGGGAAAGGAGGCAGGCAUUAAAAAAAAAAGUCCAAUUCUUUUGAAGUUUGAAGGAUAGAAUUUCGUUUUGAGUUUGCUUAGAUUAGAUUAAAGAAUUAGCAAAAGCAGUUUUCUCAUGUUGGCUUAGAAAAGAAAGGUUUAAUGUGUACAUUUUCAUUUCAGAAAGAUCUACAAAUGCCAUGCCAAUCAUGACUUUCUUAUUCUUCAAGCUAAUAUGCAUGGUGUCAUGUAAUUUGUAGUAGUUGAAUGAUUUCUCUUUUUUUUUAAAAAAAAAAACACUUUUUCACAAGUUGAUAUUCUUGUAGAGGUGAGUAAAAACUUCAGCGUAGACAUGCUAAAUUUCUAGAGUUUGAAAAUUUAUGUAGUAAUUGAGAUGUUAUGAAGACGGCUGAAGAGUGAUACGGCAUGUUCUUGUAUGUACAGCAAUUACAUUACUUAUGUUAAGUAUGAACAAAAAGUAUACCACUUAGUAAUCUUACAAAAGCAGAUAAUAACUUAGAUGAAGCUCUCAUGGUUAGGAUCUAAGUUGUAGGUGCGAUCGUGACAUAUCAUAUGUCGCACUGAAGAUUCAAGUAAGCUAAUUAAUCGAUCGGUAGGUAGAUAUAAAUCAAUUAAGCCUAAUGAGUGAUCAAAACAAACUAUAUAUGCAAAGUACAACUUGAUUGCCGAUCAGUAGGCCAUUCUCCGAUAACAGUGGCGCCAAAUUAGGUGUAAGCGAUAAUCAUAAUCUCCAACACUCCAAGAAUCAAAUCAAAACCAAUGAUUAAACACUAGAAUUUACAGUUGAUUUGUUGAAGGCCCAGAAAAAUGUAUUAGAUAUAUAUUCAGCUGGAAACUUAGCUUGAUCUCAAAGUUGCACCUGACCACAGUGGUCCCUGGAAACUUAGUUGGCUCCCAUAUACUUGAGACAAGAACAUUUGAUGCCUCAAUCCAUGAAAAAGCAACAUGAUCAUAUUUGAGCACAUCCUCAAAGUGGAUCUGUGAAAAUAUGCCUGAUUCUUUCGGUAGAAUCUUCUCAACCAAGAGACGUAAAGUUCAUAAUCCAUGCGUCGUAAUCUUUCUCACCGGAGACUUCAACAGGAAAGUUAAUGUCAUAGUGCUCUGGAAGCCUCAAAGGUUCUGAAAUUCUCAUGCCCGCUUUGUGUGGUGGAAUCUACCAAAUUGGUUGAGAAUGAUCUGGGGAACGAAAAAAAAAAAUCGCUUCCUUUUCGUGUCGCAGGCAUCUUGUUUAGUCAAACAUGUUUUUUCCUUGGAAAUUUCACGGGGUAAAACGAGUUCCUGAUUCUUGUUCACAUAUGAAAAUAAGUUACCUUGAUCGAUCAUGACAUGCAAACAUUUUGGAAUUUUUUCGAAUCGCAACUAUUACCGACAGAUUUAACUGUUUGGAAUUUUCACAAAAUAGUACACUUGUUUCCUGCUUUUGCAAUUUUUCGCCUCUUCUUACUUUUACACUAUCACUACAACAAAAUGUUUUUCCUUGCUUGGAUAUUCCUUAAAGUUUUUUACUUCAAUAUUCAAAAAUCAAAUGAAAUAAUUUCACAGUAAGAAGUUAAACUUGUGGGUCAAGAUCGGAAAUAUUGCUCGGUCCCUCUCUUUAUUUGCUUCCUAAUGUUUUUCCUUUCUCUUUCUGUAAAGAAAUGAGAUUAUUAGAGAAACUCUUAAUGGUGAAGCGGAAAUUUAGUUGCUUCAACUUCUAAAACAAAUACGAACUUAUUCAACUGUUCAGAAAAAGUAGUUUAAAUGUAAUUUUUGAGUUGAAUGUAUAAUUUCGCUUGUAAAUUCGUUUAUCAGGCACUUCUUAGUGGACUUGCUAUCUUUUCCUCAGUAAUUAUUAUGCUUUAUAGUCUUGAGAUUAGUUCAUAAAUCGACUAAUAUCUUAAGUUAAGAAUCGCUCUACUUCCCAGAAUGUCACCCAUUCUAGAACUACUGUAGUGCUAACAUACUUAACUUUCUUAAUCUCUUGGGCCUAGCCAAGUUAAGAACUUUAGCACUAUUAUAGUUUAUUAGGAUUAUUCCAAACUUUAGAAUGUCGCAUUCCUCCACUAUUUAAGCCCUGACGUCCUCGUUAGACUCGAACCCACUCACAAGCAUUAAGCAAUAUGAAACUCGUCUUGGACCUUGUGGGGAGCUGUGCUCUACCCACAAUAGUCGUCGGUCGGGGAACCACGCUCUGCCCUCUUUAUGAUCCUAGGUUAGCCAAAACUCAUCUUACAUUUUUUACUGGUAAUUAGCUCUGAUACCAACUGUGGCGCCCCACAUCCCAGAGAAACACCCAGCCUAAAACUACUGUUGCUCUCACACGCUUAACUCUCUUAACUUCUUGAGCUUUUAACCAUCGCCCAAAAUGCUACAGCCGGUUAAGAUGUUUAGCAAUAUUAUUUCUCAUUUUGAACUAUUCCAAAUAUUAGAGGUGUCACGAAAAGUGCACAAAAACUGACUUCAUUUGUGGUAUGUUAUAUAUCGAGAACAUUAAUUUUGCCUUUGCACACUUUGAAUUUUGGAUUCUCCAUAAAUAUGCAGUAGGAUUAUUUGCUAUAGAAGAGGCUAGUUGCAUACAAAAGGGCGAGUUGUACAUGUUUUUUAUCAUCUUUUUUGCGUAUAACAUUACAGUUGAGAUAAGUCAGAAACAAAAAAAAGAAGGCACGAGAGUAUCAUCAGCAGGGAAUAAAGCAUUCGAAAUUCUAUUGAGACCAGUUGUGAUAUUAGUCUCUCGUAAAAGUUUAGGAAUUGAUGAGGAGAGGCACAUCGAAUUCAUUAAAGCGGCGUGUGUAGAUGCGGGAAAAUCUCUGUAGCUGGAUUGAGAUUCUUAAGGAUAACUCAAGUGGAAGAUUUAGCUGAAAUGUUCAGUUGCUUGACCUGCAAAAUCAGUGCCAACUUUUUUAAAUGUUUUGAAGAGUCAAUCAUAUACAAAGCAGUAUAAAUAUAAAAAAUUACUUAUUGCUGUAGAAGUGUAACUGCAUGUAACAUGAGCAUUUGCUAAACAUUUUCUUUUCUUUUUUUUUCAUCUGUUUUUAUAGAUGAGAUAAAUCAGAAGAAGAAAAAUGUAUGAGAAUAUUGUCAAUGGAGUAAUGCUUCUAUACUUUUUUUUUUUUAUUACCGUUCAUUCACGCGUAUUCAACGGCUCAGAUUUAGUUUUUUUAAAAUUGUGACCUGCAAUAGUAGGUCACUUUGGGAGAGGUACCGGUUACCAGGUACCUCAAAAAAGGAUAUUUUUGUCUUUUAAUAUAUGAGCAAUUUAGUCAUUUUACAUCUAUUAUAUUUUCAAAAUUUUUAUUUUUUAUUUGUUUCCUUUUUCUCUCUCUAUCUUUCCUUUCAUAAUUUGGCAUUUCAUAUAAGAAAAUUUUCAAAUAAUUUGACAAUAUGAUCAUUGAAUUUAAACUUUAAAUAGUAAUAUGAAAUUCCUCUAAUUUAAAUUUCACUUUUAAAUUUAAAAUUUAAUAUUAUAUUCAAAUUUAUAUUUUAAAAAUUUAAGUUUCAUAUAAAUACUUUGAAAUAUGGUAAACAGAAAUAAUUGUUUGAAUUCUAGUCUUCUGGUUUAGGUUUGGUUUUGGGUUUCGAAAAAUUGGUCAGUUUUGAAUUUGGAUAUGGAUUUUUGAAAUCCGUCGAGUUCGGAAAUAAGUUUUGUGAUUGUUAGUCAGAUUCGAAUUCAAAUUCCUAACUAUUUUUUUUCUCACCAAUAAUUCUAAUCUUUUUAAUUUAUAUGUUUAAAAUUAUAUUUAAAAUAUUUAUUAGCUCUAACAGUUAAAUUAUCAUUCUGUUUAAAAUAUUUAUUAUCUUUACCGGUUCCAAAUUGUUCUUAAUGUUAUUCGGUUCAAUAGGUUAAAAUCAGAUUCUUGAUAGAAUAGGUCAAAGUCUGAUCAGUCAAAUCAAUCGGUUCAAUCUAGUUUUUAAAUCAUUGAAUUUAAAAUUUAAAUAGUAAUAUGAAAUUCCUCUAGAGAAAUCUAGUUGUAGAAAUCUUACUCUCUAAGUUUUUUAUGCAUUACGUUUUAAACUGGUGCGAAUAAACUGUAUUUUAAAUCUUGGUAGAAAUUUAGUUUUUAAAUAGUAAUAUGAAAUUCCUCUAAUUUAAAUUUCACUUUUAAAUUUUAAGUAUUUAAUUUUUAAAAUUUAAAUUCAUCGUAUUUAGAAAUAAAACUAUUUCUAAAAUUUCUAUAAUUUAAAUUAAUGUAUAAUUUGAGAAACACUAAAACAUUUAAAGUAGAUUCCUAAAUUAAUGCCUAAUAAUUGCAUAAAUUUGGUUAAUCAAUUAAUUUCCUAAAUUAGUGCUAAUUAAUGCAUAAAUUUAGGACCUCAAUUAAAAGUUUAUUUAAAUAUUGUAUUAUUUAAUUACCAAACUAACUUUGAAUAAAAUAAUUUUUUUACCUGCUAAGUAUUAAAGUUACAUUUUUACCCUCUAUUAAUCAACGGUUAAGAUCUUUUUUAUUUUUGUUAAAAAAAAGUACCGAAUCAUUUCUCUUGUCAAUGAGGAAUAAAGUACUUGAAACUCGACUGUUAGAGACGGGUUGCGAUGUUUUGUCAUGUGCAAAGUUUAGCAUUUGAUGAGGAAAGGUACUCCGAAUUCGUUAAAGAUGAGGGAAAAUCUCCGCUAGCUAGAUUGAGAUUCUUCGCGAGGAGAUUUUGAUAUCAGUGAUCUUUGGCUUUCGUGAUCUGCAUCGAAUCGAUGAGAAUUUGCGGAUAUUUGACAGCAUAAAUCUGCAGAUUGAUAUCAGAUUAGUGAGAUCUGAUAAUUUAUGUGUGGAACCAGAGGAGCCUAGAAUGUCAAAAUUCAGAAGCUAGACUUGUUCUCACAUCUGAUUUUGCUGCAAUCUUUCUUUUCUUUUUUUUCUUUUUUUUCUGUAAAUAUGAGUGGAGGAGCAUUAAAAACAUGAAUUAAGCUACUUAUGAUCAGUGUUUAGGUCUUUUGAUGAGUAUGUUAUUGCUAGGUUGCUGAAUCAAUGAUAAUGAGGAUUGUGGUCUACACUUGCCCUUACUUCUGCAAAAAGCCUCUCUAAUUUAAGAAGCAGCAGCCAUGUGUUCAACUGGAAAGGAAAAAGAAAAGGGAGUAUUUACUGUGGUGAAAAGCUUAAAUCUACUUUUUGGUCCCUAGGGUAGCUGAGCCUCAAUUUCAAAUAUCUAUCUAUGCUGUAGAUAUUUUAAUAAAAUAAUUAUUAUUGGUUGCUUGUGUUGGCUUAAAGUGACUAGCAUUCUACCCAUUAGCGGGAGUUCAAAGUUGGGCCGAGUCAUGUUCGAAGUGGCGUAAAAUUGACUGGGCCGAAUUACAAUCUAGAUGUGUGGGCGUUGUAUGCGUACGUUUUAAGUGAAUUAGUUACGUAUCUCUAACAUAUCGAACUUUUGGAAUUAAUAGUUAGCACUAACAAUCUGACAGUUUGUUUGGUCCAACUUCCAUUUCUCUUCUUCCAGUAGAGUAUUUUGAACUAGCGGGCUCGAAAUAAAUAGUACUUCUACAAAAGCUCCAAUUCAACCAAAAAGUACUAAUUUCGAAAAUAAUUUAGUUUUGAAAAAUUUUCCUUUUUCUUUCUUUUACUUAUUAUGUUGAUGCUCAAUUUACUGCCUUGAGUUGUCUUAUUUCCUCUGCUUCACUCAUCUCUUUCUAAUUUAUGGUUCUUCACUUAGUAGAUGUUAAAAAUAGUAGUGUCCUCAUAAAUAAUGUUGCAUAUUUUCUUGGAAAAUGUUCUAUUCUACUUUGACUCUCCUUAACUACUUUACUCGCAAAAGUUCUCGAUCACUAACCCAUCCAUCUCAACGUACCUUGCACUUGCUUCAAAAUAAUUACAAGUACUUAUGGAUCGCAAACACUAAUCAACUAUCUCAAAAAUAUAUGCUGAUAUAAAAAAUGUACUCAUCGCACUUUAAAGUUUAAAGUUCAACCACAAGCUCAAGAAUUUCAACCUGAUUCAAUCCAUCUGGAUAUUAGAUUUAUUAUUAAGUCUCUUUCUGUUAAAUACAUUAUAGACCACAACCCCACUCAAUUUAUUGGGUUUUCCAACUCUACUUAUUAGUCUCCUGAGUAUAUAUAUUAUCACGGGACAAAAUUAAAACUAUUUUAGCCAAUAAUAAAUAGUCAAGAGCACUUACUACUAAAAUUGAUUAAAAUUGGAUUAAGAUGCAUGGCUACUUUUUUUGGGAUCAAUUGGAGUUACAUUUUUGAGUUCAUAAAGAAUAUUACGAACUUUGUUGGGGUUACUCUUGGAUAUCAAUGUAGACCUGACAUGCAACAACAAAAAAACAAAAAUAAAGGUAAAACUUAGAAAAAAGAAAAAAAGAAAAAUGAUUAAAAUGGAAGUAGUGGUCCCCUGAUGGUUCAGGAAGCACCCUACCAGCCCAGUGGAAGUAAUAAGUAAUAUUGACUUCUUUUGUACCAUUUGUUUAUGACAACUGAGUAUGUUUUUUUUUUUUUAGUAUUAUCUUAGGUUGUAAAAACAUCCCACAUGUACACACAUGUCAUCAUGGAAUUGAUAAAGCAUUUUUGGUACAAAAGCCCUGAGCUACAAUUAAUAACAUUGUAAUAUAAUUAAUCUACACAUAUCCUAAUCUUUCAUCUGCUAUUAACAAAGCCUUUGAUAUGUGUUAGCAGUUCAUGGGUCCUGGGCUUAGAGAGAUGAUAAAAAUUAUGCAGGAUUUGAAAAGCAUGCCCCACUCCUCCAUACACUACUUGCUCCACACUUUUCCCUGCUCCCCUCAAUGCUUUACAAAACUCCAGGUUCCUAUCCUUCAAUAUAUCCAUCUCAGAUAUGCACACAAGCAUAGGAGGGAUCCUCAGCUGCUCCACCCAUGGGGAGCCCCUGGACAAGGGGUUGCACCAGGGGUGCUCGCGGCUCGCCCCCGCGGGAAGCGCCAUCCGCCAGUAGGCGUCCGACGCGGCCAGCGUGAGCGCCGACCGCGCUGCGGAUUGGACCGAAUUCCGCUCCGACGCGGUCCGCGACUCCCCGCCGAAGAAGGGCUGGAUCAGGAUGAGCCCUCUUAGCCCGGCCGACGGCCCUAGCUGCACCGCGACAUUGAACGCCACCGCCGCCCCCGCGCUGUCGCCGCAGAGGAACGCUCGGUCGAAGUCGACGUGGCUCCGCCACCACCCGCCGCUCGCCUGCUGCCUGACCCACGUCAUCGCGGCGAUUCCGUCCUGGUACGCUGCGGGCAGGCGGUGCUCCGGAGCGAGCCGGUAGUUCACCGACACGAUAACGCAGCCAGCCGUCGUGGCUAACUGAACCAAGAACUCAUGGUAGCAGCUCCAGGCGGCGGAGCCGACGCAGAAUCCCCCGCCGUGGAAGUAAACAAGGAGAGGAAGCUUCCCCAGGAGUUUGGGCGCGUAUAUCCGCGCCCAAACUCCGGUGGUCGAGUUGUCGAGAGCACUGUCCCAGCUCAUGAGAUCGGGCCCGAGGGCCCAGGUGCACGGAACGUCGGCGACGGCGGGGAGGCGGUCGACGCGGCCGUCCUUGUAGAGCCUUAUGAGCCCCUCAAUCUCCUCAACCACAUGGCCAUGGCCCUUCCCUUGUGUUUGGAAGCCCACCCGAGGGUUUGACUCACCUACAUGAAUUGCACCCAUCUUUCUCCUCCUCAUGCAAAUACCAACUUAUAGUUAGUUCUACAAGUACAUCCCAUAGGUUGUGGGGGUUAGUUUCUUAUAUAUAUUUAUAUGAAUUUAAAAAGGAUUUAUUCCGCGUGUUCGACAAGUGGGCGUCGGCGAUUCCGCCAACGUGGCGAGCUUGGUGCAAGUUAAGAACUGAACGCAACUUAAUAAGAAAGGGUUAUUAGUCACCAACCAAUAUAGAGCACCAAAGUGGGGGUGGGUGGUGGUGUGCAUUUCUCCCUUUUUCCAAAAUCAAAAAUGGCUUGUGGCUGCUGCUCCCUCCAAUGUGGAAAUUUUUGGCUUGCUUAGCCUAACUAAAGUGAACAAAAAGGCUCUACAACUUGGGUUGUGGUAAUGUGAUACAACCCUAAACAAUCUUUUAAUUAUAUAUGUAUUAAAAUUCUCCAUUGGUUCUCUUGAGUUUGUAGAAAAAUUGAGCUAAAUAAGAGGGGUUGUUAAUUGGAGUUUACUUUUUUUCUUAUUUUUAAUUUCAAAUAUAAUCUAAUGCUUCGAGUGGGCCAUCUUUAGCCCGUCUUUUUUGAAGAGCCCAUUUAUAUGUAACUGCGAUUAACAAAUGGCUCCAAUUUGGUGCCUUGGUGGAACACUUUACAAAGCACAAUAAUAAGCUAGUCGCUGGUUGUCACGCGUAUAGCAAAAUCUCUUUCCUUCUGUUCCUUAACAGUCGCACAAACUUCAACGACUAUAGUUUUGAAAGUCAAUCAGGAACAUUCUAGAAGUUACCGUAGAGCCACACAAUGGGCGCAAACGCCGAAAGAUUUUGGGCGAGCUGCCACAGUUUGGUGGAAGAUGAUAGCUAGCAGUUGCGUCUUGUUUCGUCUUAUAUAUUAGCGCCACUAGCAUUUUCUUGUUUAUACUCUUGGAUGAUGAGAGGCCUAUUCAUAUAUAUAUAUAUAUAUAUUAUAUAUAUAUAUAUAUAUAUAUAUAUAUAUAUAUAUAUAUAUAUAUAUAUAUAUAUAUAUGAAUAGUGUGUCUCAGGUCAUUUCAAACCUUUCAGUCUAAACAAAUCCCUCUAGAUCUUGAGUAAUACGACAUAAUUUUGCCGAUGAGUUUCUCUCUCUUCCUUAACUUCAGUUUUGGAGCGAGUAGGUUUUGACUAGCAAGUUAGAGGUAAUAAGUUUGCACAUCUUCGUAAAAGAAGAUAGGCGCUGCACGGGCUUGAGUCCAUGACACAGUGCUCCACUAGAAUGUGGGGACCAAAGGACCUUUUUAUAGGUUUAAAUUAUAUGGAAAAUGCUUUUAGAACCACAUGAACAUAUUGUGCUCUCUAAGUAAGACGCCGACAUAAAAUUCGAAAUAAUUUAAAGCUAUCUGGACAAUAUAUAUGUUCCACGACAAAUGAAAGACCACCUCCAAAGUGGUUGUCUUAAUCGGAAACAUAUUCUUCAAGCAAUUUCGUGCUACAAUUGAUAACAGUAUUAUUAAUAUUUAUAUUCAACAUUCUCCCUUAUAUCUGAAUGCAAAAUAUUUUAAUAAGUCCAAAACGUAAAUUUAAAUUAAAUGGGAGCUAGGAAGCUGAUAAUGCUAGGAGUUUAGUGGGACUCGGACUCUGGACCUCCUAUUUUGAUACCAUAUUAAAUUAACGUAAAACAAUCAUUUUUUUUAAUAGCUUAAACCAUUAGAGAAUGACUAUUUGCAUUUAUAUUCAACAAUUUAUAUCAUUUUCAAUCUUUUAAUUGUAAAAACAUAAAGAAUUUAUCUGAGCUAUUCACUAAAAUUUUGAUUUUAGUAUCUAGCCUUGCAUAUGAUUUGAUUCCAGUCGGUCUAUAGUAAUUUCACUUCAUAAUUUAAUGGGUCGUUUACAUUUAUAGAUUUAGUUAGUAUGCUUCAUGCAAUUCUCGCAACUAUAAAUUCACUAAAUUAAUAAUAUUUUGAAGUUAAAAUAUCAUUGCUUUACUCAAAUCAAACAAAUUUAAAAGUUUAGAUAGCCGAUUCAAAAUGGUCCAUUAUUUAGAAAAGUUCUUUGUGCAUGUUUUUAUACUUUUUAUUGUAGAAAAAUAGUUACAACUAGGGUUGGCGAUCCAGCUAGUUGUUUACAAGCCAACUCAUGUUCAGCUCAACAUUUAGCUUGAAAUCGAUCGCUUUUUUAAUAAACAAACCAAACACGAAUUGAAUUUUUUAGCUUGAAAUCUUAACGAGCCGAAUACAAACUAGAAGCAGCUUGCUUAUAUUUGGUUCACUGUAGUUUAUAUCUAUACUAUAUAUAAAAGCAUGUAUUUCAAAUUUCAGUCUGUCAAAAAGUGUAACUUUCGUUUAAAGAAUAUAAUUUUCAUUUUAAAGAUGCAGUUUACACAUCAAAGAGUGCAACAAGAGGAGAAACAGUAUAAAUAUCUGUCAAGGAGUGCAAUUUUUAUUUAAAGAGUGUAACUUUCAUUUUAAAGGGUGUAGUUUACAUUUAAAAGAGUUCAACUUACGUCCAUAAUAGUACAACGUUUUUUUAAAACAGUGUAAUUUAAUCUUAACAGUGCAAAUUCAACUUCUUGUUCCUUCUUCUAUGGUUUUCUUUAUUAUUUUCUAGUUUUUGGCCUUUUAGUUAUUUUUUUUUAUUUUAAACAAAUAAAAGUGCUAAUCCAAAGAUACUUCCGUGUAUUCCUCACCCUCCUCGCCUUCGAUACCGUCGAGGCCGCGCUCACUGCCGCCCUCUGGGGUAGGCGGGUGGGCCGCGUGCCCCCUCCUUCGCCGGCAAGCUUCUCGACGCCGAAAAAUGCUUUCUCUUUAUCAUCGACGGCGGUGGUGGGAACGCGAGUUUCCAGAAGUGAGUUUGGUGGGUGCAAAAUUCACUGCAGUAGAGAUGGAGAGUGAAAGCGAAGGAAGAUGAGGCAGUACCGUUCUCGCUAUCGUCGCGGAAGGCCGCGGAGGCGGUGGAGGAGGGUCGGAGAGAAAAAAAAAGAAAGUCGCAGCGCGGUCUCGACGAGGUCGGAGGCGAGGAGGGCGGGCGGUGCGCGGGCGAGAGUGAGGGCGUGAGGGGCAGAGACGAGAGGGCUUGUUUCCGCCUUCGCUUCCGUUACCUUCUUCGUCGAGAAAAAAAAAAAAAAAAAAAAAAAAAAAAAAAAAAAAAAGAGAAAAAGGUAUAAGGGUAUUUUGGUCAGUUUACUAAAAAUUCGGACCCAAUCUAUAAAAUUAAAAAAGACGGCCCAAUUUUGCAAAAGCUCAAAACUUGUGAAUUUUUUAUGCAAAUUGGCCUAUAUUUUAUAUACAAUAAUUCUGAAACAUCACUAUAAAUUUUUCAUAUGUAUACAUUCUAUAUGAUUUAAAUUGUAUUUUAUUGAAUUAAAUUUUAAUUGUAUAAUAAUAAUUUUUAAAAAAUUAUUUAAUCAAUGUGGUUAUGCCAUGUAUUUAAGGGAUUGAGGAUUAAUAUAUGGUGAUAUUACGAAUUUCUAUAAUUUGGAUUUUUAGGCCAACUCAAAUGUAACCAAAUCUAUAUUUUGUAAAUUUUAAUUAUUAGAUUAAGAUUUUAAUUUUUUUAAAUUUUUUUUCAACUUUUUUUUCAAUAGUAAAACUGACGAUCUAACUUGCCAGUUUAUAUUCAGCUCGUUAAUAAACAAGCGGAGUAUAAACUGAAUUUUUCAACUUGAUAUUUUAACGAGUCAACUCGUAUUCAGCUCGCUUAAUAAACGAGUAAACACAAAUGAAUCCUAACUCACUUGUGUUCAGCUCGUCGACCUUCCUAGUUACAACUAGGGUUGCAGGGAAUCCAUUUGUGGCUUUUUUUUGAAGGAAAAAAAAAAUUCUUUGAUUAGUAGACUAAUGGCCUAACUUGGCGUUGACGUCUCUCUAACUUUGUAUCCCCCAAGAUUCUACAGACACCUCGGCCAGCCGACAAAUUUUAGAAUACAACGGGUAUGUUGAUGAUGUGAUGUAAUAAACUAAUCAAAUAUCUCUUUUUAAAAAUAUAUAUAUAUGUCCAUCAUGAUUAUAAAAAAAUAUUUUGGGAAAACUUCAAAAACCUCCCAUGUGGUUUCGUGCAUUCUCACUUUGCUACCAUGUGGUUUAAAACGUAUCAAUUUGCCCCCCUGUGGUUUCGUUUUUAUCUUUUUGUUAUCAAUUUUAUUAUUAUUUUUUUUUUAAAUCAGUGACAAAAUUAAAAUUAAAGGAUACUAAAGUGACUAUUCGAUAAAUAUAGAUGGUUAUCUGAAGUUUUUUGUAUAUAAUUUAACGAAAUAUUAACGAAAAAGCUUCCGAAAAGAUAAAAAUGAAACCACAGGGGGGUAAAUUGAUACGUUUUAAACCACAGGGUAGCAAAGUGAGAAUGCACGAAACCACAGGGGGGGUUUUUGAAGUUUUCCCAAAUAUUUUUAUUGUACUUUUAUUUGAAAAGAAAAAAUACGAUUGACUUAUUAUUGAUGACGUGGUAUAAGUGUGACAAUGUAGAAUUCCUUCGGCCAGCCGCCAUGGUGUCAACUUGUCAUCUCCAAGUGAGAUAUGAUUUGUUACUGAUCUAUCCUAACACUAGUAGUAAAAAAUUUAAUAAUUAAUAAUCGAGAUCUCAAGGUUGAAGUCUAAUUAUUUUACAAACUAAAUUUAUUUUUAAAAAAAAAAAAAAAAAAAAAAAAAAGUGAGAUAUGACUUGUUGAAAAAAGAAUUUGACAAAUGUAAGUGACCUCAACUAUUUGACAUUUUGAAAGAAGCACCUAACUUUUUACCAGCUAUGCUACAUGUACACUUCAAAGUACCGUGCUUAUUUUAUACCCAAUUUAUUCAAGUUACAUCAAUUUUUUUAUUUUAGAAUUCAUAAAAAUUAUUUAAAUUUUUAUGAAUUCUAUGAUGGGGGUAUAAGAUCUACACACCUUUUUGGUGUACACAAAUAGAACUUUUUAUUUUUUUGGCAAAAAUGUAGAAAAAUCCCUGAACUUUAGCUCUUCUGUGAAAAAGCGCCUGAAUUUUUUAUUUUGGUAAGUAGACUUUCAAAACUUCGUCAAAUAGUUUAAUAGGUCUCUCUCUUCAAUUGAAUAUAACAAUUACAUAGUUAAUUUGGUCAUGUAUCUUGCAUUUAAUCUUAUAAAGGUUCAAAACAUAAAGAAAUUUACCUUUUCUAUUCUAACAUUUAAAAAAACAACAAAAGUUGAUGGUUGGCUCCCCCUCUUCUUGAAUCCUCAAGCUUAGUUAUCAAACCUAAAAGGAGAAAAAAUUACUUCUCUUUACAUUUUAUAAUUUUAUAAGAUUAUAUGCAUGACAUGAGAUCAAGGCAACUGUGUAAUUACUAGUUUGAUUUAGGAGAGGAACUUACAAAACUAUAAGAUAAAAUUCAAAAGAACUAAUUGUUAAAAUUGAACGCUCAGAUGGCUGUUUGUAAACGCGCUUAAGUUUAGGACGUCUUUAUACAUUUUUUACUUCUUUUAUUGAUACUUUUUUAACUUUUAAUUAUAUUUUUUCUUACAUUAAUUUCACGAUUUGUUUAAUAUAAUUAGUAUUUGAUUUACCAAAUUUUCUAAUUUUAUUGAUGAAAGUAACUUAAAUCAAAAGAUUCAAACCUGAACGAUGUCAACUAAAACAAAGGCCUAUAGUUUAGGGGUUGCUUUUAGAAUACCCUAUAGUUGAGGGGGUUACCAUACAAUUUUUUAAAAAAAAAAUAGUAGUAAAAAAAAGGACCUCUUUUAAUAGUUGAUUGGUAUGUGUUACACGAGCACACAAACAGAAAGAAAAACGGUCAUCGCAAAGUAGACAAAUCACAAACAGUAAAAAAAAUAUAUAGAACGUAAAGAUUUAUGUAGAAAAUUUUUUACAGAAAAUAAAUUACAGGCGUGUAAUUAAGGAGAGAACUUUACUAUGAAAAAGAAAGUACUAUAUUGUAGAAGUAAAAUACGAUGCAUCGCCGCUAGGGCAAAAAGAAGAAAGCUUUUUUUAAUAGAUUUGUAAGUUUUUUUUUAAUAAAUUUGUUCAGUAUUCAAUCUGAUUGGUCUGAGCCUCUAGCCCAUCACUGACAUCUCCCUUUUCCUUCACUAAUUAUUUUUCGAAAUUUGUCCUAUCACAAAGCUAUCGGCGAACCAGGAGUACAAAAUCAAAACUGACAACUAAAUUUGGAGACACAUCUAAAAGUAUAGAUAACCAAAAAUAAAUAAAUAAAUAAAAAUAAAUAAUAAAAAAAGCAAAAAAAUUUUGACUCUUUGAUUCUUCAUUGGUCCAACAAUUGUGGACUGAAUCUCCAAGUGCUUUAAGAUUUGUGCUAUUGGAGUCCAGUUGUGAACACCAAAAAAUAUAAAAAUAUUGUGUUCCAGUUAUGGGGCUUCAAACUUUGCAUGGAGAAAAAAUUAUUGGACACACAAUGGGCACAAAAAUAAAUGGGUUUUGCAAAAAGUAAUACAAUUAUUGUACUUUUUUUCUUUUUUUUUGCAACCCUAGUCAACUUUGUGUUUCUUGCAAUUUUGGAACAAAAUAUCUGAAAAGGAAUUUUCAACAAUAUAAACUAAAUUUUUUUUAAAAAAAAGUUCAUUUUAAUUAGAGCUAUCAAAAUUAACUAUUUCUAGGAUUAUUUAUUUGAUUAAUUUGGUUAUCUUUUUCUUAUGGAAUAGAAUCAUUAUCAUCCAACUCAUUACAAAAAUAUUUUUACAAAAUUCCGCGAUCAUCAAAAAAAGUGCAAGACUUAAAUUGAAGCAAAAUUUUAUAAUAAAAAGAUAAUUGAAACAUGAGAUAAAGUGGAAAGAGUUUUUUUUUCUUUUAAGACUUAAAAGUGAAACUCUGAAUAGUUGAAUGUGAUCUACAAUACUUGAAAAGGACAUUACGCAAUAAAACUCGUCAAAUAUUAUAAAGCCGUUGAUUUUUAUUACCACUUGAUACUUAACUCCUAAUGUUUCAAAGUAAUCAGAAAAAAUAGAAGCCUCGUUUGAUAUUAGUCUUUUUUCGCAUUUUAGAUAAACUUUUCAUAUAAAAUAAUAUAAACAUCUGAGGUAUUUAUUUGGCAACCAGAAAUAAAAGCCUAAAAGUAACUUUUUUUCACUUUAAAAUUUUUUAAAAAAAGUUAUUAUCAUCACUAACCAAUCAUAACAAUAAGAGAAAAAAAAAAAAAGUCUGCGUUCAGUACUUUUAAUCAGUAUAUCAAAUUAUAUAGUAUUAAAUAUUUAAAAAAAUUUAAAAAAAAAUUAAAAUGAUACCAAACAUGGCCUAAAAGUUUGUCGGCCCGUAAGCAAAAGCAGCUCAACCAUUUCUUUUGCCAUCUAUUUCACUUCAAAUUAAUAUAAUAUAUCCUUACACGAAUUUCUUUUUUCAUAAAUAAAUAAAAUAUAUUAUAAUCAUAAAAAUAGUCCCUCGAAAUUUUCUUUUAAAAAAUUAGGAGAACAAAAAAACGGUGAACGAAUCAUCAUUUUCUAAAUACUGCAAAUCUUUCACCGCUUUAUUCAAAAUAUUAAAACCAUUUAGAAAUGCUCAAAAAAGCGGUGAACAGCUUAUCUUUUUCUAAAACGGUAUAUAUUUGCUAAAGUUCGCACUUUCAGAAAUUUAAUACUUCGCUUGAAUGCAGCUAAUAAUUACUGUUUUUAAAAUGCGUCAACGAUUCACCGUGUUAUAAAAACAGAGAGAAACUUCAAAUGCCACCCCUGUGAUUUCACACUUUCUCACUUUAGUACCAUAUGGUUUAAAGUGUAUCAAUUUAGUGACAUGCGGUUUUAUUUUUGUCUUUUUAUUAUCGAUUCCACUAAUUUUUUCAUUAAAUUAGUGACAAAGUAAAAGCUAAAAGGUACUAAAGUGAAUAUCCGAUAAAUCUAGGUGGAGAAUUUGAAGUUUUUUGUAUAUAAUUUAAUGAAAUAUUAAUGAAAAAACUGACGAAAAGAUAAAACUGAAACCAUAGGACACUAACUUGAUACACUUUAAACCACAGGAUACUAAAGUGAGAAAGUGCAAAACCACAAUGGUGGUAUUUGAAGUUUACCCUAAAAGCAGUAAACAGUUUCCCCUUCUUCUCCCGACACCAGGUUACCAACUUCCUUGACCUUCCGGCACUGGGCAGGCGUCAACCCCCAUACAUGGUCUUACGACUUUGCGGAGACCUAUGUUUUUGGUAAACAGUCGCUCGGGCCUGGUCAAUGCGACCCCCUUUGUGAGGGGGCACCCCUUCUCCCGAAGUUACGGGGCUAUUUCUAAUAUUAAAAAUAGGCUAAAUUACAGAAAACCUCCCUGUCAAAGCUCGAUUUUUCACUUUCCUCCCCUGUCAUUUAAAAACCUACACUUUAUCCCAUUGUAAAAUGAAAAAUAUUCACAGGGGGUACGGUGUGAACUGUGAUGAUAAAAUGACCAUUUUGCCCCUCACCAUUUUGCCCCCACCAUGUUCACAGGAGAGAAAGCUAAGGGUAUUUUUGGCAUAAAAAUAUAUAUAAUAAUAUUUUAUAAACGGAACCCUAACGGAUUACUAACGGCAGGGGGCGAAGUGAACAUUUUUUUAUUUUAUAAGAGGGCAAAGUAUAGGUUUUUAAAUGACAGGGAGGGAAAGUGAAAAAUCGGAUUUUGACACGAGGGUUUGAUAUAAUUUAGCCUUAAAAAUAAGAGUUCCAAAGAUCUAUAUUUAUAAUUAAAAAUCUCUAUAGACUUACUUGCCAAAAAUUUCUUUCUUAGAUCGGUCAGAUCAUAACCUAGUGCCCAAACCGGUUUAGUUCAACCCAAAAACCAGACCGGCUUAAAACCCGCUUUGCCGACUCAAACUAGUGAUCAAAUCAGUGAAUCGUGGAACAAAACCCAAUUUUAGAAGAACCGGUCGGAUUUUUUUUUAUUUUAUAUUUCAAUAAUUAAGGGUAAACUUCAAAUACCCCCGUGAUUUCACAUUUUCUCACUUUAGUACUCUAUGAUUUAAAGUGUAUCAAGUUAGGCCCUAUGGUUUCGCACUUUCUUACUUUAGUACCCUGUGGUUUAAAGUGCAUCAAGUUAGUACCCUAUGAUUUCAUUUUUCUCUUUUCAUUAUCCAUUUCACUAAUUUCUUUUCAUUAAAUCAGUGACAAAGUUAAAAUUAAAGGGUACUAAAGUAAAUAUUCGAUAAACCUAGGUAGGGUAUCUAAAAUUUUUUGUAUAUAAUUUAGCGAAAUAUUAACAAAGGAAAAAAAAUCAGUGAAAAAAUUAAAACUAAAGAGUACUAAAGUGAGUAUUCGAUAAACCUAGAUAGGGUAUCUGAAGUUUUUUGUAUAUAAUUUAACGAAAUAUUAACAGAGGGGCCGACGAAAAAAAAAAAAUGAAACCACAGGGUACUAAAUUGAUGCACUUUAAAUCACAGAAUACUAAAGUAAGAAAGUGCGAAACCACAGGAUACUAAAUUAAUACACUUUAAACCACAGAGUACUAAAGUGAAAAAAUGCGAAACCACAGGGGUGGUAUUUGAAGUUUUCCCAAUAAUUAAUUAAGAAUAUGCAUUAGUUUUUUUUAAUAAUCUACACUUAUGAUACAUUUUUAAUUAUAUAGAGUGCAAUAAUAUUUAAAAAUAAUAUAGAGUACUAUAUCGGCAUAUAUUUUGUAAUAUUAUAUAUUAGUAUGAACAAAUAAUAAUUAAAUAUUUAUGACGCCAUAUUAAUGCCAUUCAGCAUGGUAGUGGUUGAACCACUGGUUGAAUCAGAGACCCGUCGAGAGCAGUAGGAUAACUUCAAGUUGAAAAGAUAGAAAAGAAUAAUAAUAUUUCCGUACAACUAUCCUUCCAGAAAGAAUCUCUGUUACAAAGAAGACUUUCUCCGCGAAAUGAGUCAAAGAUGCCGAAAAUGAGAAGAGCAUAAACUGCAGGAAUAAAGUUUAAGAUUACAAGCAUUCUUGCAACACAGAUUCUCUAUCCUUUCAGAACACAUAAUAAUGUUGAAGGGAAUCAGCAACCAUAUUCUCAUCUCCCAAGUGACAACAUGAGGAAUCAAUGUUUAAAUAAGAUGAUUCUGCGUGUCCGGCAGCUCUAAGCAACACACACCGCACGACGUAAAACGGAAGAAAAAGCAUCGACGGCAAGAAGCUGACUUUCUUUCGCUUCUGCUCAUUACCUGCGUUCUGGUGCGUCCAUUAGCCGGUCAUUUCCGUCUCUUUUGGGAAAAGAGACUGUAAUAUACGACGAAUCUGACGUAAGCAGCACUCAGAAGCAAGUUCUAAAGAAGUUCAAAGUUUACUCAGAAUUCAAAACAUCAGCAAGACUACUUGAAUCUGCAGAUCUUCUUGGCCUCUAGAAGCUCGAGAUAUUUCAUAGUUUCAACAAAAUAAUAAUUGCUUUAAUCGAACAACACUUUUUCACAAAGCUCUAGCCAUGCUAAACAGAACCGAAUUUGGAAAAUUGACUAUGGUGAGAAAUCCGUAAAAGGCGCAGGAAAUAAAACUUUGAACACCUCAAUGAUGUGUUUGCAACCUUUUGAUUUGUACACCUAUUGAACUAUAGAUUCAUACUGCAGGAUUUUUAUGAAUAGAAGCAGAAUUGACAUCCGACCUAGAUACCGAGAAGUAAAAAAUUGUGAAGUUUUCACUCGUCAGAACGGAAACACAAAAUACAUGGAUGGUUCGACGACAGGAGGAAGAUCAUACAGUGUCCGUAACAGUUAAAAGCGUUCAUCAACAUGCAAUUUGAUUUUGGUAUACUCAUUUGCAAAUUGCCAACAAAUUGAAACUUCCGAAGGGAAUCAAGGACUAAACAAGUGGUAAGACAGCAUAUUCAUCAGGGAAAAUCAUUCUUAUUAAUAAGAAAAAAGGGCUCUCUUUUCUCAUUUUCUUCAUAAUAUAAGAAUUUGCUUGAUGUUUUCGCUCGACCUUAUUUUCUCUAUCUUCUCAAGUAACAAAGUUGUAGCACAUCGACUAACAAAAUCAUUAAUCAAUUUCGCUUCAACUUUUGUUGCUAUUGUCAUUGAAAUCAGCAGAAUUUGCUAAGUCGAGAUUCAUAUACGCGCACAAUAAACAUCAAUUGUAUCUCUACAUAGCCUUUGAAUAUUUAUUGCAAAUUGGAAUGUUCUAGAGGAGUGACUAGCUCUCUCUCUCUUACCGUCAUUCCUAAUAUACAAGCAUUUAAGAAUAUGGUACAACCAUCAAAUUACUUCUAGAAGACAUCAUAAAUUGUGGCGUAAAAUAGAUUUACUCUACUAGCUUUAAGCCAGCGAAACUUUUUCCCUAAGAUCCAAACAAAAGGAACAGUAAGUGUCUCUUCCAUGGAGCAAAAGACAAAAUUGAAGUUAGAAAUAUCGAUUCAAUUGAACAAGUUAAUAAGUGAUCACUUCAUUCCAAGGCCAGGCGCAUAAGAAUUCCAAUCAAAAUAUUAGCAGUACGAGGGUGAAUAAAAUGCAAGAAUAUUCAUCUUAGCUCUUAUUCCCUGCCUUGCUUUCUUGCUCGAGCAUGUAAUUCUUCUUCAUGUCUUCCAAGACACUGUCAUUGGUGCUGUCAAAAAUAUAAAAAAAAAAAAUCAAAAGUGAAUAUACAAUUCCCUUCCAUUUGUAAUCACCUUUUAUCUAAAUGUCUGCACUAGGCGAUAAAUGGGCUAGUCACAUGCCAAUCAUUACAGCCUAUUUCCCUAGAAAUGUAUAUAAACCUUAUCCACUGCAUUCAAGUGAUAGUUUUAACACAUAUUGACAGAUUUGGACUAUAUACAGAUGUGCGCUACCUUGCAUUCUUUGUGCCACUUUGUUUAUAUAUCAUGAUAGUUAACAUUACUAGCAGGUACAAAGAUUCAUGAAAGAGUUUACUUUGACUAUUCCUAGCCGUGAAGCAUGGAAACUGGUAUAGGAUGCUGGUAUAAGGAUGCUGGUAUAAGGAUGUAAGAAUCUGGAGGUCCACAGAGAAGUAGGAUAAUGUUUGUUAGCAAAAUGCCAAUAUUACUUUUUUGUGUUUUUGCAUGAUUGUUCAUUUCUUUAAAAAAAUUGAUCAUCCACAUAGAAAUGUCCAGCAAAUAUGAUAACAAAUUUAAGUUAUAACGAAGACACUUGAAACAGUGAGAAAUUUAUUAAUCAAGACUUCCACAGCAUCAUAAACACCAAAUUUUGUUGUCUUACAAAUUUAUUGGAUAUAAUGAGUACAAGAUGUAAGUUCAUCAUCGAUUUACGAAGGAAUAUUUCCGACAAUACCUAAAUAAUCAAAACAAAAGUUAGAGGGAUAAUCACAAUAAACAUGUGAGAAAUAUAAACAUUCAUAAGCACAAAGUAUCACAGCCAAUUACUUAGGAAAAACCAGUGUAUUUAAGUAGCAACAGUAGAAGAGCAAUUCUACAGAAACAAUCAAAGAGGCAAAAGUUUGCAGAGUUAUAGCAAGUCUUGGAUAUUACAGUCAUUUUUUGCUUCACCAUAAUACAUACAAAACUUUUUGACCCCCUGAAAAAGGAGCCAAAGUUCUUCUGAUCUUUGACAAAAAGAUGCCACAUAUAUGAAACCCUUGUUGAAUUACUAGUAUACGCCAAUUGUCUCACAUCAAAUAAUGUAGGGACAUCAGAUUGGUGUAAAAGGACUAGCUCUCUAGUGUACACGACUUAGGGUUAAGCAUUUCGUCCCAAUGGUCUAAAUUUAACAAACUGUUAAUACUGGUGCUUUGGCCGGGCCCGUACAUAUAGCAUCAAAGCAACUCUCAAAGGUACUAUUAUGUGGAUUCAGCUGAUUGUCCGUUCAGAGUGUUGCCAUGGACAAGGGGAGCAAGACACCAAUGAUGAUGCAAUAGUUUGGUUGGCUUCGUGCUUCUAGAAACCCACACGGAUAUCUACUUCAGGGAAAGUAGGACAUGUAUGUGAAUCUGACGAGGAUAUCAAGGCCUAAACGGGGAUCUUGUGACCUCCUAAUUGUCAUGCAUUGGAUAGUGCGACGACAAUAAUGUGGUAUACAAUGACUAGCAUUCUAGUACUCGUAAUUUGAACUUACGUACUUUGGGCCAGUGGUUUAGGCCCAACGAGUUGCUAAUACUAGUGCAUUAGGUUGGACCAUAGAAUUCACCUUGUUGAUUGAUGAAUGGAAGAAGUAAAAUGCAAAAGAAUUUGUUAUACAAUAAGAUGGCGCUAGCAUUCUAUCUAUACUCACCAAAAUAUUGCCACCAUUUUAGUGUGAGCUGACAUACAACAAUUACAGCUCAUAUAGAUACAAAACAAAAUCAAAAGAGGGUAAAACAACAAAUAACAACCAAAACAGAUCAUCAAAUAGUAAUUUGAAAAGCAAAAAAUAUGACCAAAAAUGCAGAAUUUUGGAAUUUUCUAUCAAGUUUUGACCAGAACCUAUGAAAAGGCAAAAUUGAUCGAAACAGUUUGAACGAAAGCAUUAGUCCAUGGCAUCGAAAUCCCCAAUAUAUUAAAAAAAUUGAAAGUAAAGUCGAAUAUAGUGCUACGAAUGAACAUACUAUUGAUGCAGGCAUUCAUUCAACUCUUUCGCAUGUUUACGGCAUUGCCAUACUACAGAUAUAGUUCUUCCUGCAGCACAUUCAGCAUACUUUGCAGAGUAAUAAUUGCAUUCUUUGAGCGCCUUUUGCUUCAUUUUGCUGCGUAAAGCUGGGAAAAAUCUAAUUAGUAUUGACAAAGAAACUAAUUUGGAAAGUCGUAAAAAAACAUAUAUUAUUUCAGUUUGCCCUUUCCUACAUAAUAAAGUAAUAAGAUUUUUUUUGUUAAUACUCUCUGUACAUCUUUACCAUAAUGAAAUUUCAUACUCAUGAGUCACAUAUUUUCUUCUACAACAUGGAUCUUCUACUUUUGGUUGGUCUAACAGGCCAAGAAAUACUUUUCUAUAUUCUUUUCGCAGAAUAAUAUGAAAUUAUGUAAAAAUAUACAACACAAACAGAAAAGGCAUUCAAGGCGUUUAUAGUGCAAUACCAUGAAACAUGCCACGAAAGCAUAUUGUGAUAAAUUAACAAGAGUUCAUAAGAUAUUUCACUCAACUAGAGUUUUACUUUAAGAAAUAAAAGCAUUUAGGGCGUUUCAUAGUCCGAUAUCAUGAAACAUACACGAUUAAGUACCACAAAAACAUGUAGUCAUAAACUAACAAGAGUUCAUAAGAUAUUUCACUCAUCUAGAUGUUUACUUAAAACAUAAAGGCAUUUAUGUAAAUUGAAGCUCGAGUCUAGUCUCUAGUUCAUGGUGGAAUGGAAGUCGCAUAAAAGUUAGAUGUGGCAAUUUAGAAUUACACGCGUUAUCUUAUUGUCUUCGGUUGGUCUUGUCGAUCUCAUUAGCUCAACUAGAUUGACAAGAUGUCACCUUCUGUGACUGUCGUGCUUGGGAGAGAGAAAAAGAGAGAGAGGAGAAAGUAGAGGACCAAGGUUUAUUAGCAAUAACGUACAACAAGAUUAUCAACUUACAUUAGGUUGGAUUCAGUUUGAGAACUCAAAAAGUCAAAUUCCAUUUCAAGUUUCUGCAUAUCAAUGCUAUAGUAGGCUAUCAAACAUUGAAACCAGCAGGUGUGAUUUCGCCCUAGUUUGGUCGUUCCAUACUUCCAGUCAAGUGAGAUUUCUAGGUUUACAUAUUGCUUAAGCCUUGGGAAAGAGUUCAAAAAUAUAGUGGGCAUUUUUACAAGCCCAGCAAUCCAUGUAUCAUCACCAACUUACUAACUACGCUGUCAUCCUAUAAACUCACUUCCGAUUUCAUUGGUGUCACAUAAAUCUCCCUCCGCAAAGUAUCCCGGCCAAUACACUCUUGAAACCAAAGAUCAGUUCGAACACUUUGUUGAUGAUCGAACUUGUAAGAUGUUAUUUGCAUCAGAAGCCGUAAUAGGUUUUGCCCUUAAACGUCACUAACAGCUUCUAUUUAAAGCAGAGCAAGAGCUUACAAAGUGGAGACUCUUAUUCAAGGGAUGCAAAGUACAUUUCAGCUUCAAAGUGGAGCCAAAAUCUUGAGCAUUUUGAAUUUCAAAUGUCUGGUUUCUGUAUCUCAAUUUUUUUUCAGAAGCUCUUAGAAACAACAUAGCAAGCCCUAAAACUAGAACAUAAUAAUAAGUAGUAAAACUAAAAGCCUAGAAAAGAUUCAUGAUGACCUCCUCCUUUUUUUUCCUCUGAUUUUUGUUUCAUAAGUUAAAAUAUAAUUAAAAAAAAAAAAAAAAAAAAAAACUUAAAUUUCUAGUACCAGAUUAGAGAGACUUCAAACAUGAAACUAGCAAGGAACAGCUACUUUAACAAGACCAUCAUAGAUAAAACCCAUUUUUACAAUCCAUCCCUCUAUCUAAUCCCUCUAAAAAUAUUGCACAACUAUAACUUAGACCCUAUAUUCCAAUAACUAAAAAACUAUUGUCCCAAACCCUUCCUUUCAAAAGCUAAUCACCCAUGGUGUUUCUGAUGGUUCAAAAUUGAUCUUGCAUCCAUAUAUCUCAAAUUAAAAAAAAUAAAAUAAAAUAAAAUAAAAGGUGGAUCAAAAAUGAGAUUUUGAGGGGAGAAAGGAGGGGGCUGUGAGUAGGGCUUUUACCUUCUUCCACCUUCUUCUUGACAUGGUUUUCUCUAGCUUCUUGGAUAUACCCCAUUACAGAGAGAGAGAGAGAGAGAGAGAGAUUGUUGUUCUUUAAUUAGAAGAGGGGAGAAUAAGAGUAGAGAGAAGAGAAGAAGACCACCCUUGAUCUUACUGGGCCAGAGUCCACAACAUGAAAAGAAAUCCCAGCAUUGCUUUAAUGGCCUUUAAUGGGCUUUAAUGGGCUGUGUUAAACUAGAACCCAAGUCAAGAUUGAGACUUUGGGCCCAAAAAGAUUUGGAUUUGUAUAUACAAGCCCAGAACAUACUCUUUUAGGUUGGCCUAGGAAGCUCUACUUUUGGCUACCAGGUCCUCAAAAAUUUCUACUUCUAGAGUUCAAAACCAAAAAGAAUAAAUAAACGAGUCCUAGUUGAUAUCUGAGAUCUCAAAUUUGAAUCGCACUUUAUUCAUAUUUCUGGCAAAGUUCAUUUCUAAAAGAAAUAAACGAAGCGUGUAGUAUUUUAUCUUUCUCUCUCAAAAAAAAAAAACAAAAAACAAAAAAAAAUGAAGAAAAGAAAGUAAAUUGUGGGGCUAGUAUCUAGAAUUUUGUUGAGUUUCGCAUUGGUAUUCAAACUUUGAUGUUGAGAAUACAGUG